UACUUGUAAUCAGAUGCCUAGGUCGAAAAUGCAAAAGGGAACAGCCCAUCAAUCCAAAAAGGAAAAGGAAGAGAGAGAGAGAGAGAGAGAGAAAGAGAGAGAGGGGAGAGUGAGAAGAGAGGAGAGACAGAGAGAGAGGGAGAGGGAGAAGAGGGGACUGGGGUGAAAAAAUUCAGGUGACACAUAGCAGGAAGAUCGUGGUCACCAACAAAAAAAGACCCCUUGCUUGCAGCAGAAAUGGUUUGUGGGUCUCUCCCAGCCUCCAGGCCCCGCCAUCUGCCUGCACGCUUCGCUCCGAUUUCCGGGGGGCCAGGAAACCUGACUCGCCUGUGUUCUGAAGCUUGAUCCGAAAGCUUCCACAGUGUGGACGCGCCAUGUGGGGCGAGUGUGGCCGCCUGCACUCUCUUGCCCCGGCGGGGAAGUCGCCUUCGGCUCAGGAUUUAAAAGUCUCUCCCAUUUUGCUGCUUUCCUCUCUGCGGUCUUCGUGGUUCUCUCGUCACUGCGGCCAGAAGUUGAGUUACAGGAAGAUUCACCAGAGAUUUAUCGCCUGGCUCCAAACUUGGAGAGCCCCGUUGUCAUAAACAGCCAUCUAUUGUCUAGACUUUUAUCUCCGGGCCUAGGCUGAGCCGGCUUAUGCUGGAUGAUCGCCGCGGGAGGACCGGGUCCUUGGCCGGCGGCUUUGCUCCCAACCCCAUCCGCCGCAGUCUCUCCUUCAUUCAGCCGGGCCCCAAAGAGUCCGGUGUUUACAAGACUAGAAAUGCUACAGCCAUGUCCCGGCAGAAAGAAAGGCUGAAAUGGAGGACCGACGCCUUCCUUAUAAGGUGUCCCUGGGGAAGAGGUGCAGAAAAGAAGGCAAUUUGGGAUCAAAGGAGGCUUCACUCUGGACCCAGUGCCCACUUGGGGAUGACAAUGAACUUGGUUUUGCUCACUGGGGCCUGAGCCAGCACCAACCUGGUAGAAAAAGCAACCACGAAGCCAGAGAGGGAAGAGAGCUCCAGACAGCGAUGAAAAGGAACCACGCGGUUAAAAAAGGGAAGAUUCGGGGGAGUGGAGAGGGAAUUAUCCGAGAUCACAGCACGAACGCCCCAGAAGGGGAGAAGGGAGAAGACGGAAUAACCGCGCGCGGAUGCCGGGACAGCACCGGGCCCUGGCCCUGGCUCCGAUUCCCACCCGCCGCUGCCCCACACGCCGAGGGCUGGGCCCUCCAAGCCCCCCCUCGCGGCCGCCAGGGCUUCCUCGCUCUCCUUAUCAUCUCCAUCUUUAUGACGAGGCUUGUUAACAAGACCAGCGAGCUGGCCACGCACAUCUAUCUCAGCGCUCACGCUCAGCCAAGCAUCGGCCGGCGCGGGGACUAGCGAGGCACUAAUUAAUUGAUUCCUCUGGACAGUAAAAUAUGGCAGCGUCUACACGGAACCCAUAAACAAUAUCUCUGCGGGGUGUGAGUGCAUUGUCUCUCAAAGAAUUUUUCCAUAGGCGUGUGUCAAGUAGCGGAUUUUUCGCCACUAAAGAAAGACCCAAGUGGGACUCAUUUCUCCGGGGCGAGACAGAGCUAGCUCAGUGUCAGAAAAUGCUUUAAGCUGUUACUGCCUCUCCGAAAGUGUUUAGGAGUGGAUUUUGUUGAGAAAAACUUGGGUCAUGUGAUAACUUUUCCCUGCUGCUGGUGUAGACCUGGCCAACCUUAGGGAUGGGAGUCAGAGCUGAGGGGCUAGGUGGGCCAGAAUCUUCUCCCUGGUUGGCUGAUAGGGAGUGGAGCUGCUCUGUGGUUUGAGAGAGUCGUAGAAGAGUAGAAGACCAGGUCCAGCCUUUGCUUUAGGCUGUCUCUCUAGACUCCAGAUUUUAAAAAUAAAUUUUAAAAAAUGUAAACA
RNAcentral lists this long non-coding RNA (1865 nucleotides) under Felis catus (domestic cat). RNAcentral's name for it is "lncRNA (ENSFCAG00000050999.1)". The record is from RNAcentral. Lineage: Eukaryota; Metazoa; Chordata; Mammalia; Carnivora; Felidae.